RNAcentral lists this ribosomal RNA (765 nucleotides) under uncultured Streptococcus sp. RNAcentral's name for it is "bacterial SSU rRNA". It matches the Rfam family "Bacterial small subunit ribosomal RNA", at positions 28 to 776 of the family's 1533-position model. Lineage: Bacteria; Bacillati; Bacillota; Bacilli; Lactobacillales; Streptococcaceae. The record is from RNAcentral.
GAUGAACGCUGGCGGCGUGCCUAAUACAUGCAAGUAGAACGCUGAAGCUUGGUGCUUGCACCGAGCGGAAGAGUUGCGAACGGGUGAGUAACGCGUAGGUAACCUGCCUCUUAGCGGGGGAUAACUAUUGGAAACGAUAGCUAAUACCGCAUAAAAGUCGGCAUUGCAUGAUGUUGACUUGAAAGGUGCAACUGCAUCACUAAGAGAUGGACCUGCGUUGUAUUAGCUAGUUGGUGAGGUAACGGCUCACCAAGGCGACGAUACAUAGCCGACCUGAGAGGGUGAUCGGCCACACUGGGACUGAGACACGGCCCAGACUCCUACGGGAGGCAGCAGUAGGGAAUCUUCGGCAAUGGACGGAAGUCUGACCGAGCAACGCCGCGUGAGUGAAGAAGGUUUUCGGAUCGUAAAGCUCUGUUGUAAGAGAAGAACGAGUGUGAGAGUGGAAAGUUCACACUGUGACGGUAGCUUACCAGAAAGGGACGGCUAACUACGUGCCAGCAGCCGCGGUAAUACGUAGGUCCCGAGCGUUGUCCGGAUUUAUUGGGCGUAAAGCGAGCGCAGGCGGUUUGAUAAGUCUGAAGUUAAAGGCUGUGGCUCAACCAUAGUUCGCUUUGGAAACUGUCAAACUUGAGUGCAGAAGGGGAGAGUGGAAUUCCAUGUGUAGCGGUGAAAUGCGUAGAUAUAUGGAGGAACACCGGUGGCGAAAGCGGCUCUCUGGUCUGUAACUGACGCUGAGGCUCGAAAGCGUGGGGAGCGAACAGG